GGGGUUGUGGCUCAGUGGUAGAGUGCUUGCCUCGCACAUUAGAGGCCCUGGGUUCGAUACUCAGCACCA
Non-coding RNA from Ictidomys tridecemlineatus (thirteen-lined ground squirrel), 69 nucleotides. The record is from Rfam. Lineage: Eukaryota; Metazoa; Chordata; Mammalia; Rodentia; Sciuridae.